GUACCCUCAAGCUCUGCUUGGUGUUGGGUGUUUGUCUCGCCUCGCGUGUAGACUCACCUUAAAGCAAUUGGCAGCCGGCAUACUGGUCUUGGAGCGCAGCACAAUUUGCACUUCCUGCCAGCAUGACGGCGUCCAUAAGCCCACAUUUUUGC
This 152-nucleotide unclassified non-coding RNA is filed under the name uncultured Ascomycota. RNAcentral describes it as "sequence contains ITS2". Lineage: Eukaryota; Fungi; Ascomycota. The record is from RNAcentral.